GUAGGGGGCGAGCGUUGUCCGGAUUUAUUGGGCGUAAAGAGCUCGUAGGCGGUUGCGUAAGUCGGAUGUGAAAACUCAGGGCUCAACCCUGAGAUGCCAUUCGAUACUGCGCUGACUAGAGUCCGGUAGAGGAGCAUGGAAUUCCUGGUGUAGCGGUGAAAUGCGCAGAUAUCAGGAGGAACACCAGUAGCGAAGGCGGUGCUCUGGGCCGGUACUGACGCUGAGGAGCGAAAGCAUGGGUAGCAAACAGGAUUAGAUACCCUGGUAGUCCCAUGCCCGUAAACGUUGGGCACUAGGUGUGGGACCUACUUAACGGGUUCCGUGCCGUAGCUAACGCAUUAAGUGCCCCCGCCUGGGAGUACGGCCGCAAGGCUA
This 375-nucleotide ribosomal RNA is filed under the name uncultured organism. RNAcentral's name for it is "partial 16S ribosomal RNA". It matches the Rfam family "Bacterial small subunit ribosomal RNA", at positions 527 to 896 of the family's 1533-position model. The record is from RNAcentral.